Long non-coding RNA from Manihot esculenta (cassava), 352 nucleotides. RefSeq lists it as uncharacterized. Lineage: Eukaryota; Viridiplantae; Streptophyta; Magnoliopsida; Malpighiales; Euphorbiaceae. The record is from RefSeq and is a predicted model, not a curated record. The transcript is spliced from 2 exons.
UUACUGGAAGGGCAUGUCCAAAAGGGCUUUAUGGUAUAUUCUGCGAGAAGAGCAGUAUUAUCUUAGAGGUAGAGGGCAUGGCCAGCAGCUCUCUAUGAAUGAAAGACAUGAGACAACAGAGAUGCAAAAGGAAACACGAGAGCAUACUCCACAAGCAAACAUAUUUCCAUCAUCACACAACUGUAGAUUCUACUUCUCCAUCAGAUGUUUCAGCAAACUGAUAGAUUUGUUUUAAAUUUUAUGAAUAUUGUUAAGUAUAUGGAUUUGUUCUAAACUUUCGAUUUUGUAAAUAUUGUGAAGUAUUUGUGUGUAUGAAUAUGAAUUAUAAUGAUUAUGAAUGACUUUUAAUUUA